GAUGAAGAACGCAGCGAAAUGCGAUACUUGGUGUGAAUUGCAGAAUCCCGUGAACCAUCGAGUCUUUGAACGCAAGUUGCGCCCGAAGCCAUUAGGCCGAGGGCACGCCUGCCUGGGUGUCACACACCGUUACCCUCGCGCCAACGUCCAUCGUUGGCCGCGGCGCGGGGCGUGCGCUGACCUCCCGCGAGCGGGGUCUCGUGGUUGGUUGAAAAUCGAGUGCAUGGUGUCGGGUGUACCAUGAUGGAUGGUGGUUGAGUGAUGAUGCUCGGGACCAAUCAUGGGUAACUCCACCAGAAUUGGGCUCGGUGACCCACAUGCGUCCCUUGGAUGCUCCCUAAGGAGACCUCAGGUCAGGCGGGGCUACCCGCUGAGUUUAAGCAUAUCAAUAAGCGGAGGA
RNAcentral lists this unclassified non-coding RNA (400 nucleotides) under soil metagenome. RNAcentral's name for it is "partial contains 5.8S ribosomal RNA, internal transcribed spacer 2, and large subunit ribosomal RNA". The stretch from base 1 to 122 matches the Rfam family "5.8S ribosomal RNA", at positions 35 to 154 of the family's 154-position model. The record is from RNAcentral.